UACGUAGGCAGCGAGCGUUGUUCGGAGUUACUGGGCGUAAAGGGUGUGUAGGCGGUUUCGUAAGUCCUGUGUGAAAUCCCCCGGCUCAACUGGGGAACUGCACAGGAAACUGCGAGGCUUGAGUUCGGGAGAGGGAAGCGGAAUUCCGGGUGUAGCGGUGGAAAUGCGUAGAUAUCAGAGGAACACCGGUGGCGAAGGGCGGGUCUCUGGGCCGAUGACUGACGCUGGACGGAGCGAAAGCGUGGGGAGCGAACAGGAUUGAGAUACC
RNAcentral lists this ribosomal RNA (268 nucleotides) under uncultured bacterium. RNAcentral's name for it is "partial 16S ribosomal RNA". It matches the Rfam family "Bacterial small subunit ribosomal RNA", at positions 524 to 786 of the family's 1533-position model. The record is from RNAcentral.